This 238-nucleotide unclassified non-coding RNA is filed under the name uncultured Cryptococcus. Its description in RNAcentral is "sequence contains ITS2". The record is from RNAcentral. Lineage: Eukaryota; Fungi; Basidiomycota; Tremellomycetes.
AACUCUCAACUCCUAAUGGUUUUUUCGGAAACUGUUAGUUGAUGUUGGAUGUGAAUGUUGCUGGCUUUCGAGUCGGCUCGUUCGAAAUGAAUUAGCUGGAUCCCUCUUUAACUUGGUUCCACUCGGCGUGAUAAGUAUCUUCGUCGAGGACAGUUGACUUCGGUUGGCUGGCCAGGAUAGAUUGGUUGAACUGCUUCUAAUCCUUUUCGUCUCUUUAUUGAGAAGAAAAACUUUUAUG